AUUGAACGCUGGCGGCAUGCUUUACACAUGCAAGUCGAACGGUAACAGGCCUUCGGGUGCUGACGAGUGGCGCACGGGUGCGUAAUGCAUCGGAACGUACCCAGAGGUGGGGGAUAACGCAGCGAAAGCUGUGCUAAUACCGCAUGUGAUCUGAGGAUGAAAGCGGGGGACCGAGCAGCAAUGUUUGGCCUCGCGCCUUUGGAGCGGCCGAUGUCGGAUUAGCUAGUUGGUGGGGUAAAGGCCUACCAAGGCGACGAUCCGUAGCUGGUCUGAGAGGACGACCAGCCACACUGGGACUGAGACACGGCCCAGACUCCUACGGGAGGCAGCAGUGGGGAAUUUUGGACAAUGGGCGCAAGCCUGAUCCAGCAAUGCCGCGUGAGGGAAGAAGGCCUUCGGGUUGUAAACCGCUUUUGGCAGGAACGAAACGGUGUCCGCUAAUACCGGGCGCUAAUGACGGUACCUGCAGAAUAAGCACCGGCUAACUACGUG
This 492-nucleotide ribosomal RNA is filed under the name uncultured bacterium. RNAcentral's name for it is "partial 16S ribosomal RNA". It matches the Rfam family "Bacterial small subunit ribosomal RNA", at positions 29 to 507 of the family's 1533-position model. The record is from RNAcentral.